UACUGUUCAUUCCUUAACCCCACUGAGGAAAAAAGAUCCUCAGUGGAGUUAAGGAACAAAGUGACUAUGGAAAUUAAAAUGUAAUGUAAUUUCUACAGCACUGUACAGUUUUCCUUGAGGAGAUUGUCCUGUGGCUCCUUUUCUACUUUUUUUGUUCUCUGCAUUUCUGUCUUUUUCUUUCUGAAUCACCAAGGCAUGGUCCAUGAAUAAAUUAUAGCAAAAGCGUAAAUCAGUGUUUCUCAAUCCUGGUCUUCAGCGUCACCCUGUCCUGCAGGCUUAGGUAUUUCCCUUCUGCCACACACCUGAAUUGUAUCUCUGGAUGAUUAACAAGCUUCUGCAGUACUUGAUUGUCAUCCAAUCAUUUGAAUCAGCUGUUCUGGAGUAGAGGCACAUCUAAAACAUGCAGAGCAGGGGGUGGUGAGGAGCAGGGUUGAGAAACACUGGCGUAAAUGAUCCUUUUGUAGUCUCUUCUCAUGACUAAUCAAUUUGACUGUCUUAUCUGUACAUAGAGAGACUAUAACUUAUUAUUUUGAGUCACUGAUAUGUUAACAGACAGAAUUUUAAGAGCUGAACUAAGGAUUUUGAAAGCAAACAAAUGCUAUUUUUCCUGUUUCUACAAAUUGUUUUGAGAAAUGCGCUUACUGUUUUGUAAAUGCCAACAAUGACUUGAGAAAUGCACCAAAAGUGACUGAGAAAAACUAACCUAGCAUAAAUUGUCUCCGCUGUAUCAAUUUGUUUGCCUGUAUGAAAAGUGUUCACAUUUACAGCUUUGUUUCUGCUAGCUUGCAGGAAAUGUAACUUACAUAAAUGGUUGAAGACAACCUAUUGGCCUUCAUGAGACUCAGAUAAAUGACCAGAGGAUCACACCUGUUGACAACAAACAAAGGUUUAACUACUGAAUUUUCAGUCAGAAAUGAUCGCACCACCUGGUUGAAGUACCUGUGUCCAUAUGCAAGUCAACAAAGCAGAGAGGAAACACCCGAUUGACAACAUGCGAGUCUCAAUUUCAACCUGUGACUGGGAAGACUACAACCAUCCUGAGCAACGUCUGAUCUCAGCGACUUGUGACUCUCAACCCAGAACAAGAAUCCUUUUAUCACCAUUUUGUCUUCUACAAUAUGUUAUCUCUUAUGUGGACACAUACUGUUUGUUUUGUUUCUGUUUUCCAGAUCUCAGUAAUACCGUGAGGAAACUGGACAGAAAAUAGAAUCAGUUCUUUUUUUAACUUGACUUUUUAAAUAGAAAUUGUUUCUUUAAGUGGAUUACUCGUAAUCUGU
Long non-coding RNA from Cyprinodon tularosa, 1277 nucleotides. RefSeq lists it as uncharacterized. The transcript is spliced from 3 exons. NCBI's taxonomy places the organism in Eukaryota, Metazoa, Chordata, Actinopteri, Cyprinodontiformes, Cyprinodontidae. The record is from RefSeq and is a predicted model, not a curated record.